UUUGUUUGUUUGUUUUGUCUGUUUUUUUUAUUUUCCCUGUGCUUUAUGGAAAUGAAUCUUGAAUUAUGGCGCUUUGCAAGUUUGAAAAUAAAAUGGGUUGAAUGGUUCAGGCAGCCAACUUGAGUUGGCUGCACGCACACACAUGCGCAACAUUCUCCGCACUGCUUUAAACACACACCGACACACACUUGACCUGUGAAGCUCUCUAAACCCUGAAAAUGCUUUUCCCAAUUCCUGCUGCACUCCCUGCAAGACACAGCUCAGCCAGUGUUGCCAGAUCUGCAGACUUUCAGCUUAACAAAAAUAUUGCAUUAACCGUUUCAGAAUUCCAGUCAUUUUUAUUCAUCCUGCCUCCAUUUUUCAUUGAACAAAGAUAAUUAUUAUUCUCAUACAAAUAAUUAGUUUUGCAGUCAGUUUUCUUUUGACACGCCAGGAGACAGAUACACAAACAUUCCCAAAUCACUGCAUCAUUAAGAAAUACUAACAACAUGGGGCUGCAUGGUAAAUCUGUCUGGAGGAGGCAGUUCUGAAAAACUGAGUGAGUGAGGGAAGCCACCACGACACCUAUGGCAACUCUGAAGGUGUUACAGGCUUCUGUGGCUGUGAUUGGACAACUCCAUCAAGCUGAUAUACAGAGGCAAAUUUUCAUAAAUCACGUCCACCUACUUAUGGACCCCUUUAAUUAGUUUAUUUCCUAACUUCCAAACUGAACUGACCACGUCGUAUAAUCUGCACACAGUAUUAGGACCAUUGUUAAGGGAGAUAUUCUUUGUUAGUAACAAGACCGUCUUUGCACCACGGGCUCAGAAGCUCCGUCCCUCACUGCACAAUGAGCAACAAUCUUAGUUCUUAAACCUGCCAAGAUCAGGAACAAACAACAAACGGUUUUAUUUAUUAAUUAAUAUUAGUAAUAAUAACAAAAAAUCAAGUAAAACAACCAGUUCCUACCAGGCUGUAAUCACUGUCCUUAAUUAUAUUGCACUUUGUGAUUACUGGUGCAAAAACUAACUCGGUCCACAGUUGAGGUUUUCUGUUCGACAAUCACGACUUUGGAUUAGGAGACAAAUUAUUUUUUGCUGUCACAAGUUUCCAAAUUGCUAGAGGGACAAUGUCAUAUAAUUUGUUAAUUGGAUGCUUUGGUGAUGGAAAAAUGAAGCAAAUAUUAAAAGGUUGUUUACUUUGGGGCUUCAUUUGAAGUGCUAAAAUUCUUCUUUUCAGCUUUUUUUCAACAGGUGUGGUUGCUUGUUUCUCUUGGGAAAUCUGGCAACACAGAUGGCUGCACUUGCUUUAUGUCUAAUCAUCCUCACGUCCAACUCUAGGCUCUCUAGGUACUUAUCAAAUGAAAAGUUAUGAUCACUCCCUUUGCAGCUUAAAAGCGUGCUUGCGGAGAGUGACGCAAAUUUGAAUCUGAUUUAUGCAGCUAUUCUACGUAAACUGGUUAGCUGACAUCAAGUU
Long non-coding RNA from Thalassophryne amazonica, 1455 nucleotides. RefSeq lists it as uncharacterized. The transcript has 2 exons. NCBI's taxonomy places the organism in Eukaryota, Metazoa, Chordata, Actinopteri, Batrachoidiformes, Batrachoididae. The record is from RefSeq and is a predicted model, not a curated record.